AAAAAAGCAUUUCUUGACGAAAGCUUAGGAGGUCCUUCUGAAUAAUAUAUCAUGGAAUCAGUUUCCAAUUACCAAAUUCUAAAUUAAAGGUGUAAACUCAUGAAAAUAGUUAUUACUGUGGUGUAAUUGGGAAAGGUUUUCCCAUCCAAUUGUUGUGAACCAUCCCACAACUCGAUAUAUUUGACAACUAAAAUGUCAUAGUCAUAACUGCAUAGAACAAAUAAAUUUUUAACUCUAAACAAAAAUUCAAAAUAUUAAGUCCAAACCAAUUAAAAUACAUAUAAAAUCAAAAUAAAUAACACUAUUACUUUCAAUACUAACCUAUUUGGUUGUAAUGGAAUCUUUUGUUUUAUCAAUGAAAUUUGAGGACCACUCUUUCCUAAGAAGUCGUCAAGAAUUUAAAAAAGGUGAUGGAGUCGAUUAACCUACAAGAUGCAAUUUAACAAGAAUGACAAACAAAUUCAAACCAAAUGAAUUCAUUAACUAUUAAAGAACAUGCAAUUAUUUACCAUUGCUUUAUCAAUCUUCUAUCGACCUUCAAUUCCAUGACCAAUGGAGUCCAACACAUGCAAUUGCCUCGUCCGAAAAUUGAAUGUGUACAACCACCAAUGGUCAUUGAACACGGUUGGCACAAAGAUCUACAAAACAAUGCAAAAUUUAAAUCGACAGUCAACAUCAACAUUCUAAACAACACCAACAAAAUUUGCACAAAACAUCGCCAAUAUUAACUUACAAAAUCACAAUACGAUAUUCCCUGGUAUGAUAAUCAGAACUGGACCAUGAAAUUUGUCCCUCAUUCAUGUUGAUCUCCUCAAUUACACGAGUUUGUAACAACCAACUCUUAUUAUUACUAUUACCAAAAACUUAAAACAAAUAACAAGAAAUUUAAAUGCACACUAACCGCAAAAAGCGGAUUGAAUGAAAACUGAUUCAGCACUCUAAAUUUCACAAUUUGAUUCAGAUUUAACAACCGGUUACAAAUAACAUAACCUACAACCACAUUCAACAUAACUAAGUAAAUAAUAUAAGUACAUACAACAAACACAGCAAUAUGAAAAUUUUUACCAUGUUGUCAACUUUUGACCGCAGCCUUAAUGAUUGCAAAUCCAGCUUUGUCAAAAUAUUAUUUUGUAUGUCCACAAUAACACUACAACAACAUUUAACAUCAACUCAUCAAUCAUGCAAUAACAACAAAUCAAGUAAUAACUAAAAUUACUUAUGUUGCACAUUAAGUAUAGUUACUUACCGUUUUAUGUUAAACUUAAAGGCAAAAUUUUUUUAUACAUCUUCAAAAUAUCCAAACUAGAUGAGCUUGGACCGACACAGGUUGCACUAGCAGAGUUUAGGUUGGGUCCACAUGCACAAAUCCAAGUGACCACUGCUUUUCUUUAUGAAGCAGUUGUCAGACCUCUUUAAGUUGUUUAUCCAAAUCAACAAUUCUAUUUUGGUUAUUUGCAACUUUCUUCUCACAAACUUUAUGUUGGUCAAGUAAGUUCUCCCACUCACUUGUACCAUCACUAGAUUCCCCAACUCCCUCAUCUGAAUCUGCUAAGGCUUCUUUAACAAUUUUUAUACCUUCCUCUUCAGCGGUGACUGGUCAAUCCCAUACAAUAUGAAAAAAACAAUAAUUUAAAAUUACUAAAAAAUUAUUGCAAAAGUAUGCACCAAAAACUUAACCAAUCCAAAAAAUACCUCAGCAGAUAAAAACAGUUUAUGUAACCUUCUUCCACGAUUAUUUACAUAUGGUUAGUGCAAAAAUCGUGAAAAACCAAUACAAUCGACAUGGUCACCAACACCCACAUGGUGAACUGCCCACACCUAUUUCCAAAAAAUAAUACACAAGUAAUUAACAUUUAAUCAAAAUGACCAAUUCAUUACAAAAUCAUAAUUGUACAAAUUUUCACUAACCUGUAACAUGGCAACACAACCUGUCAAAUAUAUUUCACGGGCAUUCUUCUCUUGAUAGUACACUUCAGAUGCCCUCCUCAAACUUGUAGCUAAUACAUUAUACAUUGCACCACAAUUAUAUAAAUCUAACGCAUGUAAAUUGUCUAACAAUUUAAAAGGAAAACAUUUAAAUGUCCUAGAAGUCCUAGGAACAUAAAAAAAACACAUAACCCAAGCAAUAUGUAUAACCUACCAAAAUCAUCUACACUUUUCUUUCUAUUCAAAUUCUUGUCCCACAACAUUUUUACAAUUGUUUCUAAUUUAAUUUUUUCCCCAUCAUCAAACAACCUAUUCACCAAACCUCCCCCGUCAUUCUCCAAUUUCACCUCCCUCCCCAUCCUAAUACAAAACAUACAUCAACAACUGAAAAAUGAAGUAAACUUUUUUGAAUCCUAAAUAUACUGUUAUUUGAUGCCCAUCUACUUAGUAGCUCUCUCAGAAGGCUGUUAGAAAUGUAUAAUACUUUGUCCACUUCAACCAUCUACUUGAAUGGAGUUUGUUGAAUCCUUUCUCGUUAAAAGAUGAUAAGUUUAUGGUUGACAUCAACAAUAUAUUGAGUCUGCACAUUGUGCCUAACUCGUACCUGCAAACUCAUAAAAUAAAAUAAUACCAUCUUUAUUUAUUCAACAAUGUCACUUCACAAAAUAUUCAACUAUUAUGAACACAAUAUAAAAACAGUACCUUCAAUUCAGCUUUUGCACGGGAGAAAAAAAAUCUUGGACAAUGAACUUUCCAUUCUCU
RNAcentral lists this long non-coding RNA (2688 nucleotides) under Phaseolus vulgaris (common bean). RNAcentral's name for it is "long non-coding RNA (PVUL_LNC000362)". The record is from RNAcentral. Lineage: Eukaryota; Viridiplantae; Streptophyta; Magnoliopsida; Fabales; Fabaceae.